This 376-nucleotide unclassified non-coding RNA is filed under the name uncultured bacterium. RNAcentral's name for it is "contains 16S-23S intergenic spacer region". The record is from RNAcentral.
UCCCCGUUAUCCUGGGCAGUCCUUCCAGAGUUCCCGGCCGAACCGAUGGCAACUGAAGAUGGGGGUUGCGCUCGUUGCGGGACUUAACCCAACAUCUCACGACACGAGCUGACGACAGCCAUGCACCACCUGUACACCGACCACAAGGGGGGCACUAUCUCUAAUGCUUUCCGGUGUAUGUCAAGCCUUGGUAAGGUUCUUCGCGUUGCGUCGAAUUAAGCCACAUGCUCCGCCGCUUGUGCGGGCCCCCGUCAAUUCCUUUGAGUUUCAGCCUUGCGGCCGUACUCCCCAGGCGGGGCACUUACUGCGUUAGCGACGGCACCGGGAGGGUCGCUCCCCCCGACGCCUAGUGCCCAUCGUUUACGGCGUGGACUAC